GGUGGUGUGGUGUAAUGGUAGCACGUGACGUUGUGGUUCUUCCUCUCAUCGGGAAAAUUACACUGAUCCGUUUCAAUCUGGGUUCGAUUCCCAGCACCGCCA
Molecule: non-coding RNA, 102 nt
Organism: Tricladium varicosporioides
Lineage: Eukaryota; Fungi; Ascomycota; Leotiomycetes; Helotiales; Tricladiaceae
Source: the annotation of a GenBank genome assembly